GGGUAGUUUGACUGGGGCGGUCUCCUCCUAAAGAGUAACGGAGGAGCACGAAGGUUGGCUAAUCCUGGUCGGACAUCAGGAGGUUAGUGCAAUGGCAUAAGCCAGCUUGACUGCGAGCGUGACGGCGCGAGCAGGUGCGAAAGCAGGUCAUAGUGAUCCGGUGGUUCUGAAUGGAAGGGCCAUCGCUCAACGGAUAAAAGGUACUCCGGGGAUAACAGGCUGAUACCGCCCAAGAGUUCAUAUCGACGGCGGUGUUUGGCACCUCGAUGUCGGCUCAUCACAUCCUGGGGCUGAAGUAGGUCCCAAGGGUAUGGCUGUUCGCCAUUUAAAGUGGUACGCGAGCUGGGUUUAGAACGUCGUGAGACAGUUCGGUCCCUAUCUGCCGUGGGCGCUGGAGAACUGAGGGGGGCUGCUCCUAGUACGAGAGGACCGGAGUGGACGCAUCACUGGUGUUCGGGUUGUCAUGCCAAUGGCACUGCCCGGUAGCUAAAUGCGGAAGAGAUAAGUGCUGAAAGCAUCUAAGCACGAAACUUGCCCCGAGAUGAGUUCUCCCUGAGACUUUAAGUCUCCUGAAGGAACGUUGAAGACGACGACGUUGAUAGGCCGGGUGUGUAAGCGCAGCGAUGCGUUGAGCUAACCGGUACUAAUGAACCGUGAGGCUUAACCUUACA
RNAcentral lists this ribosomal RNA (671 nucleotides) under Escherichia coli. Its description in RNAcentral is "partial 23S ribosomal RNA". It matches the Rfam family "Bacterial large subunit ribosomal RNA", at positions 2263 to 2925 of the family's 2925-position model. Lineage: Bacteria; Pseudomonadati; Pseudomonadota; Gammaproteobacteria; Enterobacterales; Enterobacteriaceae. The record is from RNAcentral.